UUUAAAACUAUGCAUAAAAAACUCUCAACAUAUUAGUAAUUUUAUAUCUAAUUAUUGUAUUAUUAAAAGGAGAACCGCCUCUAGUGUUGUUCACACAAAUAAUAAUAAUAAUAAUAACAAUAAUAAUUAUGGUAAUAAUAGUAGUGAUAGUAGUAGCAGAAGUAGUAAAAGUAGCGACAGUAAAAAUCCUUAUACAUACGUAGAAAUUUAUCUAAUCAUAAAUAACAAAAAACAAGUCACAAUAAACCAAUUACAAACGAUUUUAAAAAAAAACACCAAGUAUAUUAUAAUAUGUAAAAUAUUAAGACUAAUAAAUAAAUAUAAACAUUUUAAAUAUACUGAAAAUUCAUCUAUCAUUUUAGUUUUAUAUCUAGUAUUAUGUAGAAUAAUACCUAAAUGCAAACUAUUAAAUUUAUUAUUAAUAAAGUGUAUAGAACUUUUAUUUUUUAGAGGAUGUUUGUAUUUGGUUACAAAAUUAUGUGAUUUUUUGUUUUUACUUUUUCCUAAUGAAAAAUAUAAUAAUAUAAUAUAUGAAAUAUAUAAGCUUUCUAAAAAUAGUUUCCUUCUAUAUUCAACAGUUUACAAAAAUAAUAAGUUUACAUUAAUAAAAAAUCAUAAUCUUAAUUAUGAUACUUGUAUAAAACUAUUUUCGCCCGAGUGGGGUUAUUACAUAUACGCUACUAGCAAUUUUAAUAUAUUUCCUUAUACAAUUAAAUUUAAUGGAUUUUUAAAAAAACAAACUAAUUUUUCUCACAUAACAAAAGAACAAACAUAUAAGUCUUUUCCUGGUGAUAUUUCACUUGCACUUACGGAUUUAAAUGAGGAACCCCAAGCGAAUAAAGUUGUCCAUACUCACAACCAACAAACAGAAAAUACCUUGAUUAAUAACUCGACCAUAAAUUGUAAUACUACCAAACUGGAUGAUAACCACAAUAAUAAUAAUAAUAAUAAUAAUAAAAAAGAAAAAAAACUUACCAUUCAAGACAAAGAACAAAACAGUUUUAUGCAAACACAUACGAAUGAUGAUAAAAAAGAUGGAGAAAGAGAGAACAUGGAAAAUGAACGGAAUGAGAAAAUUGGGAAGGGUGAACAGCGUGGGGAGGA
Molecule: long non-coding RNA, 1104 nt
Filed under: Piliocolobus tephrosceles (Ugandan red Colobus)
Lineage: Eukaryota; Metazoa; Chordata; Mammalia; Primates; Cercopithecidae
Description: lncRNA (ENSPTEG00000012444.1)
Source: RNAcentral